AGGGAGGUUGAGCAUAGGGAGAAAAAAACAGGAACAAAGUUGAUAAGACGGUUCCAAAGUUCACCUGCAGCACACUUGGGGAUGGGUGCUCCUCUCCCUAAGCUGGUCAGAGAUGGUUCAGGUCGUGGGUAGGAUAUCCUAUGAAGCCCAGAGCCGCUCACCGAUACCCGGAGGAUUGGGACUUGGUCUCUUCUUGUGUCUUCAUUGAUUUUGGACCUGGACCACUCCUGUUUUUUUAUUUGACUGGAGUCGUAUUUACUACACAUCACAUGGUGGGUUCUCCCUGAGGAAAUCAGGACAAAGGAGUACAGACAGUGGGAACGGGAUUUUAAUCUCACUCUUCUUACUCCUCAAGCCCAAUGGAUAUGUGGCCUAGGAAGGUCGUGGUGCUUCUCCUGUACUGCUAUGGUUGUUCAGCCAUUGGUGAAGGGAAGCCAUACUUAAUCUCUAGGAAUUUCAACACUGUGCUCCACUGGAACAAGCUCGAGAGUCCAGAUGAAGGGGCCCUUUACAGUGUCCAUUACAAAAGACUCGGAGAGCCAUACAAGCCGAAGAUUGAGUGCCAGAACAUCACCACUCUUUCUUGUGACCUCACUGCAGAGACACCAUACAUCUAUCAAAAUUCCUACUAUGCUGAGGUUUUCGCCAACAAUCACUCACUAGGCCGUACAGCACUGUUUAAACCUCUGAGAGACAGUAAGCAAUUUCCUCUCUUUAUCCUACUUUUUCUAGAUUGGGAGGUUUUUUGAUUAUGUGUUGGCUCAGAGGGCAGGAUCCUUAGUUGUGAUACAUACAAAUAGCGCCAACUGUCUGUUCAUAUUCCCUAAUGACAUCAAUAUAAACUGCUCUAAAAAAUAAAGGGAACACUUAUACAACACAAUGUAACUCCAAGUCAAUCACACUUCUGUGAAAUCAAACUGUCCACUUAGGAAGCAUCACUGAUUGACAAUAAAUGUCACAUGCUGUUGUGCAAAUGGAAUAGACAACAGGUGGAAAUUAUAAGCAAUUAGCAAGACACCCCCAAUAAAGGAGUGGUUCUGCAGGUGGGGACCACAGACCACUUCUCAGUUCCUAUGCUUCCUGGCUGAUGUUUUGGUCACUUUUGAAUGCUGGCGGUGCUUUCACUCUAGUGGUAGCAUGAGACGGAGUCUACAACCCACACAAGUGGCUCAGGUAGUGCAGCUCAUCCAGGAUGGCACGUCAAUGCGAGCUGUGGCAAGAAAGUUUGCUGUGUCUGUCA
This 1240-nucleotide long non-coding RNA is filed under the name Salmo salar (Atlantic salmon). Its description in RNAcentral is "lncRNA (ENSSSAG00000092415.1)". Lineage: Eukaryota; Metazoa; Chordata; Actinopteri; Salmoniformes; Salmonidae. The record is from RNAcentral.